AGUAGAGGAUAGCCCGGCGAAAGUCGGAUUAAUACUCUAUGUUGUUCAAUGCGGACAUCUAAGUUGAACCAAAGGUUUACCGCUAUAGGAUGGGGAUGGCGUCUGAUUAGAUCGGUAGGCGGGGUAACGGCCCACCUAGUCGACGAUCAGUAGGGGUUCUGAGAGGAAGGUCCCCCACAUUGGAACUGAGACACGGUCCAAACUCCUACGGGAGGCAGCAGUGAGGAAUAUUGGUCAAUGGGCGAGAGCCUGAACCAGCCAAGUAGCGUGCAGGAAUGACGGCCCUAUGGGUUGUAAACUGCUUUUAUAUUAGGGAGUAAAGUGCACUACGUGUAGUGUUUUGUAGGUACUAUAUGAAUAAGGACCGGCCUAAUUCCGUGCCAGCAGCUGC
This 391-nucleotide ribosomal RNA is filed under the name uncultured bacterium. RNAcentral describes it as "bacterial SSU rRNA". It matches the Rfam family "Bacterial small subunit ribosomal RNA", at positions 135 to 518 of the family's 1533-position model. The record is from RNAcentral.